RNAcentral lists this unclassified non-coding RNA (339 nucleotides) under soil metagenome. RNAcentral's name for it is "partial contains 5.8S ribosomal RNA, internal transcribed spacer 2, and large subunit ribosomal RNA". The stretch from base 1 to 120 matches the Rfam family "5.8S ribosomal RNA", at positions 35 to 154 of the family's 154-position model. The record is from RNAcentral.
GAUGAAGAACGUAGCGAAAUGCGAUACGUAGUGUGAAUUGCAGAAUUCAGUGAAUCAUCGAAUCUUUGAACGCACAUUGCACCUCUCGGUAUUCCGGGAGGUAUGCCUGUUCGAGCGUCAUUUGUACCCUCAAGCUCUGCUUGGUGUUGGGUGUUUGUUCCGCCUCUGUGUGUGAACUCGCCUCAAAACAAUUGGCAGCCGGGGUACUUGUUUCGGAGCGCAGCACAUUUUGCGAUCCAGAUCAACGUACAGCGGCAUCCAAGAAGCCUUAUUUAACGCUCUUGACCUCGGAUCAGGUAGGGAUACCCGCUGAACUUAAGCAUAUCAAUAAGCGGAGGA